Canis lupus familiaris (dog) is the source of this 1616-nucleotide long non-coding RNA. RefSeq lists it as uncharacterized. NCBI's taxonomy places the organism in Eukaryota, Metazoa, Chordata, Mammalia, Carnivora, Canidae. The transcript is spliced from 4 exons. The record is from RefSeq and is a predicted model, not a curated record.
UAAUGGCCAACUAGAGCAAUGUCUCAUUUGGGGUUAGAUGGUGCUCUGGACAAAAUGAGCCUGGUUAUCUGUUUCCAAUAGACAGGAGUCGUUCAUUUCAAUUGGAGAACUAUAUCCAACUGGAAUGCUUGCCUCUCAUCAAUGGUUUUAAAUCUCUUGUUCCAUUUAGAAUCCUUUCUAUUCUACAGUUGUUUCUCACUGGUGCCUGUAGUAACAUCAGAUUUCAACUGAAACCACUGAGAGGACAGCCCCAACUACAAUGUCUUCUCCCCAACUCCAUACCAUGAAGAGGAGAACCCUCAACCACCAGCAACAGAGACAUUAUUGAGGGUUGGCCAGAAAAUAUCUGAAGCCAGAGGCCUUAGCUGGCAGUUGUAAGGAAUCCCAAGAGGGCUGUAAAGACUGGCAUGGGUGCAUCCAGAAGACAAGAGCCAGUGAUGAUACCUUGUAAGAUAAACACUGAACUCGGAGUGAGAAGCUUUCUUAUCUGAUUUCCAGAGAUGAAGACAUCUCACAGGUAUUAGGUGACUGGUCAAGGACAUGGUGGUAGGGCUGAUGGGGAAAAUGUCUAUUCUGUCAAUAAGGUGAUAUAAUCUCAGGUUCCUUAUUUUCUGAAACUGAAAACAGAGGUGAAAUAACCUACACUGAAAGUCUGUUAUGACUAAAAAGCCUAGGUGGGGGCCUAGACUUAUAAACCUUGUAGAACAAAAUUGCUCUGAGCACCACAUGUUUUCACUGAUCUUGGAAAAUCUUUUACUCCGUGGUGGAUGGGCGCUUGUUGGCUGAAGGCCACAGCAUGAGUAUGGUCAGAUGCACACGGGUGAAGGACCACAGGGCAUUUGCAAACCAGACAGCCUUGCUGUUGGAAUCGUACACUAACAGGUCUGAGGGUUUUCAUCAAUUGCAAUAUUUAACAAAAUUAUCCUUACUCAGAGUUAACACUAGACAGUUAUUACUGUGCUUUCUAUAACAGGGAGAAAAUUAUAGGGGAAAUGCAAAGGUAGAUUUCUUUUAAUUCAGUUUUGCCAAGGAUCAUGCUUGAAAGCAAACUAGCUAAUAUAAGCUCAGAGGAAUGCUCAAGGAGGAAGACCCACCUCAGAGAGGGAGAGGCCUCUGAGACGGAGCUAGCCAGCUCUGCUCUUGUUGGCCUUGACCCCCACCUCAUUGAAUGCAAGUCAGAAUGUUUGGAGGAAAUGGACAGAGGGAGGGCCUGGCAGAGGGUGGCUCUGAGAACAUGAAAGGAAACAUGUUUGGUGCCCCCAUCCUCCCAAAUCAUUACUACAUUAGUCUAUUCUAAUGGAAAAAAAUUCUCCUGGGAGCCACAAGACUACUUUGUUCUUUUUUCUCCUCCCAGGGCAGAACAGCUCCAAUCUGUGAGCAAUGAGGUGAAAUGAAGGGGGUGGGGCAGGCUGAGUGAUGACAGAGGAGGCUUUUAUCUUCCCCAAACUUCUCAUUCACAUGGUCUCCCCAUGGAUGAUAAUAGACAGAAGACACAGGACAGAUCCAGACCUUGAAAUCAUAGAAAAAGAAUCAAAGUGAUUGAGUAUAAAAUGAGAAUGUGUAAAAUGAUUAAAGGCAUAAAAUAGGAGGGAAUCUACAAAAAAAAAAAAAGACCC